UGACAAUUUAUUUUUCCGGCUUUGUGCUUGGGUUUCUCUAGCUUCAGAGCUUUGAUUGAAGGGAUAUAAUAUGUCAGAACACCAGCUUUUGGCAGGAAAGAAGGGGCCAUGAACAGUGCACUAACAGAGACCAAAUUAGCGAAAAGCUUUUCAGUGUGAGUCGAGUAUGCAGAGGUGAUGUUUGGGAACUGACCUGACAAACAGCAGCCCCGUCUUGGGGGUCCCUGGAGGGGACACAAGGACGGCUCCUGCGGCCUGAGCGGACAACACCGAAGUCGUGGAGGGCGUACGUGCGCGCUUGGCUGCGGCAGGGACCGCGCCGCGCAGCCCAGAGCCGCCUUCAGCCACUCGUGCUCGGCCGGGCUGUGUCCGCACGCGGCUGCCGGGUCUCGAGCGCAGCCCCUCCGUCCGAGCUCCUCUGCCCUCCGCGACCUGGAGGAUUCCUGAAAAUGUCAGAACCUUCUAUUUUGAACACACAGCUUCUCCAAAGAAAAGUACCAGCAACAAAGCUCUGCACCAGGCAGCCCCAAAGCUGAUGCCCCAAGCUGAAGGAUCUGUGCUGGAAGUCAGGAGAUGACACCCAUGGCAAGGUUGAAGACCGGAGCUCCCCUGAAGAGAACAGCCAAAGUUUCUCCAGGAAAAUCAGCUUCAGUGAAGCUCUUCCAAGGAAAAUCAGAAUGUGUCCUCCGUUUGUACACUCCAGCAAGCCUACUUAAGUGGGUCUUCCGGAGCCAUGCUGACUCAACUCAGCUGGGCAUUUCCACUCACGGUGACAAUCAAACAACCACCAUGGUGUGUGAUGCUGCACUGGUCUGAUGAUUGCAUUCAUGUGGUUCUGCCUGUGGGUGAUUGGCUUACCACAUCAGGAAGACUUGUAGCUCGCAUGGAAUAAAAGAAAGAAGGCUCUCUGCUCUCUGCCCCCAUCUCCCUUAGCCAUGGCACCUUGCUUGGGCUGAAGCUCUACAA
Octodon degus (degu) is the source of this 966-nucleotide long non-coding RNA. RefSeq lists it as uncharacterized. The transcript is spliced from 4 exons. NCBI's taxonomy places the organism in Eukaryota, Metazoa, Chordata, Mammalia, Rodentia, Octodontidae. The record is from RefSeq and is a predicted model, not a curated record.